Paramuricea clavata is the source of this 203-nucleotide non-coding RNA. Lineage: Eukaryota; Metazoa; Cnidaria; Anthozoa; Malacalcyonacea; Plexauridae. The record is from the annotation of a GenBank genome assembly.
ACGACAAUCAGUGGCGACUGGCGAAGCAGAGUUGGUCGAUAGAAAUUAAUAAACGGUGAAAUUUGACAAUAAAAUAAUUUGUAAACGGUCACCAUAAUUAUACACUGAUCAAUUUUGCGUUUUCAGCAAAAAUGGGAUUUUUUUCUAAUUUUGCAUAUAUUAUAUGUCACUGAGUGAAGACUAGUCCUGUAUGGUGCACAUGC